AGCAAUGUGGCGCAGCGGAAGCGCGCCGGUAAGCAACUUCAAUCCAGUAUCUAGUACCAUCAACUAAUCAACAAUAGGGCUCAUAACCCGGAGGUCCCUGGAUCGAAACCAGGUAAUGCUA
Non-coding RNA from Stipitochalara longipes BDJ, 121 nucleotides. Lineage: Eukaryota; Fungi; Ascomycota; Leotiomycetes; Helotiales; Hamatocanthoscyphaceae. The record is from the annotation of a GenBank genome assembly.